This 253-nucleotide ribosomal RNA is filed under the name uncultured bacterium. RNAcentral's name for it is "partial 16S ribosomal RNA". It matches the Rfam family "Bacterial small subunit ribosomal RNA", at positions 524 to 776 of the family's 1533-position model. The record is from RNAcentral.
UACAGGGGUCUCAAGUGUUGUUCGGAUUCAUUGGGCGUAAAGGGUGCGUAGGCGGCGCGGUAAGUCGGGUGUGAAAUCUCGGAGCUUAACUCCGAAACUGCAUUCGAUACUGCCGUGCUUGAGGACUGGAGAGGAGACUGGAAUUUACGGUGUAGCGGUGAAAUGCGUAGAUAUCGAGAGGAACACCGGUGGCGAAGGCGGUUCUCUGGGCAUGAUCUGACGCUGAGGAGCGAAAGUGUGGGGAGCGAACAGG